This 253-nucleotide ribosomal RNA is filed under the name uncultured bacterium. RNAcentral's name for it is "partial 16S ribosomal RNA". It matches the Rfam family "Bacterial small subunit ribosomal RNA", at positions 524 to 776 of the family's 1533-position model. The record is from RNAcentral.
UACAGAGGGGGCUAGCGUUGUUCGGAAUUACUGGGCGUAAAGGGCGCGUAGGCGGCCCGCUAAGUCGAACGUGAAAUCCCCGGGCUCAACCCGGGAACUGCGUCCGAUACUGGCAGGCUUGAAUCCGGGAGAGGGAUGUGGAAUUCCAGGUGUAGCGGUGAAAUGCGUAGAUAUCGGGAGGAACACCAGUGGCGAAGGCGAGUCUCUGGGAUGAUGCUGACGCUGAGGCGCGAAAGCCAGGGGAGCAAACGGG